AUUGCACUUUCUCUGUCUUGCAGCUUAUCAAAAAGCAAGGUUUUAACCAUUAGUAGGAAAUAGAAAUAAUGUGGUUCACCAAACUGAACCAUACUAUUUGUUUUUUGUUAUGAUCAAAACCGACUUUCAGGUUUAUCUGCAUUUGCCAUUGCUCUUCCAUGGUAGUUGAUAGACUCUGCACAAUGUGAAACUGGCUUCUAGGGCCAGGGCCUCCAGGGGAAAGAAGAAUAGUGGAAGGAAAGUAAUUUUGUUCGUUAAUCUUGUUUUAUUUACAUUGCUAUUUAUAGUGAUUCCUAGUAACAGAAUUGUCCCUUCUUGCUUACAGGAAUGUUACAAAUAACAAAAUUUGUUAUGUUUGUUCCCUAUUGGCAAACAAGUAUUAUCCUAGCAAGAUCACACUACCAGCACAGCACAACCAUUCUUUCUCAUAUGAAAUCCGUAAGGUGGAAGUUUCAGAGGUGUUAACCUAGUUGAGAUCGUUUUAUCUUCCAACUUGUUGGUUUCACCCUUUUUUGCCUUAAAAAAAACACUAGCACCUGAAAAAUCGUUGAUUCCACACAAAGAAUCGUGAUUGUUUAAUGAUCGCAAGAAGACCCCUCCCCUGUCUCAUUUCAGAGGAACCAAAUCUGUCUAGCAAAUCUCCUCCCCCCUGAUUAGCCGUAGCAGGUUUUCAAGGAUUGAAUAUGUAAUUGAUCUAAAGAUAGAAAAUUGAUGUGUUUUAAA
Glycine soja is the source of this 723-nucleotide long non-coding RNA. RefSeq lists it as uncharacterized. The transcript has 2 exons. The record is from RefSeq and is a predicted model, not a curated record. Lineage: Eukaryota; Viridiplantae; Streptophyta; Magnoliopsida; Fabales; Fabaceae.